This 330-nucleotide long non-coding RNA is filed under the name Elaeis guineensis (African oil palm). RNAcentral's name for it is "long non-coding RNA (EGUI_LNC032893)". The record is from RNAcentral. Lineage: Eukaryota; Viridiplantae; Streptophyta; Magnoliopsida; Arecales; Arecaceae.
GCCCGGGUCCCAUCUGCUUACAAUGUCAUCUUGGAAUGGCCUAAACUAAAUGUGCUUGGAGCAAUCAUCUCCACAUACCAUCUGUUCGUGCGCUUUCCAACAAGGAAAGAAACUGACAAGAUGCAAGGAGUUCAACAGCUAGCCCGAUAAUGUUACUUAUAUUGAGAAUUGUGUUCCAAAAUCAAUCAUCAAUAUAUUGACAAUUGAGCUCAUUGAUGUAAUUAUAUAUGAAUUAUUAAAUAAUAAAUAUUUUUUAAUUUUUCAUCACUUUGUGUACAUCUUCUUUGAACUCCUGAAUUGUGAUGAAGUCUUUAGGACUAUUUGAAUCGA